Taeniopygia guttata (zebra finch) is the source of this 5053-nucleotide long non-coding RNA. The record is from Ensembl. Lineage: Eukaryota; Metazoa; Chordata; Aves; Passeriformes; Estrildidae.
UUUUUUUCUUUUUUUCUUUUUUUUUUUAAUAAGGAGUUUAUAGGUGUGUUUUCAUAUUGUUGCUGUAGGGAGCAAAUUGUCAAGGUCAAAUAUUUCUGGUAAAAAAAAAAUCUCAGUUGUGGGAUAUUAAUAAAGUUACAGUUGUUAACUAGAAGAUUUCUUUUUUAGUUACAUGAUUAAAAGAAUGGAGAGUUGAAGAAAAGACAGCUUUUGAAAAGAAGUAAACAAUUAAUUGUAUAAUAAUUUCUGUAGAAUCAGUACAGAAGCCAGAAUGCUACAUAGAGAAGGACAUAGAAUCAUAGCUACAGCCAUAACAAAAGAUCCUUUUGCAAGUGUAUCUAGAGUGGGGAGUCCAUAAGGACUCCGUCAAAUAAUGAAUUGAGACAUUAUUGCCUUUUUUUUAAUACAUACCUACAUUUGCAUAACAAAUGCAAACAUAUCUGUCUGGAGAAUCAUAUGUGGCAAGUACCUAAUACCUGCUUAUUACAAAGCAGAUAUUGCUGAUUCCUGAAAGGAGAACUGAAUUCAGUUGAUCUCAGUCUUAUUGGAUCUACUAUAAAAAUUGCCAAGUUCUUUAUCUUGCAAGACAGAAUUUGCUGAUGGUGGUUUUCUCCAAAAUCACAUAUCCCAGAGGAUGCUCUCCUUUCCUCCUUCUGUUUAUUUUCUUUAAAAUACCACUAAGAACACAAGGGACUUGUAACACUGAAAUGAAAUGAUUCCUCCAUAAAUUAGUAAGUGAAACACCAGUGGGAGACCUUAAAAAGGUGAAAUGUGUUAAUGGUGUCAUUACCACUUGGUCACCUGUUGCCAUGAGUGCUAAAUGCAUUUCUCAAACCCUGAGCUGCUGUUAUAGCAACUUAUCACCAGGUCUUGGCAGGACUCCUUGAGAGAUCAUGAAAUAUAUAAUUUACAGUUUGCUCCUGGGAAGUAUACUGAUAAACCAAGCUAGAAUAAAAUUACUUCAAAUGGGUGACAUUUUUAAGCUUGAAUUUCCUGGCUGCUGGCUGGUUUAAAUCAGAAGAUGUAAUUUUAUUAAAAAUAUUAAUUUUGUGAUAAUUAAUUAAUUUUUAAUGUACAAUUGCCAAAUGCUACAUGAUCUAUACCUGGGUUACUUUCUUCUCCUUGUGUCCACUUCCCAUUUCCCUUUUCCCUUCCCUGUCUCUUUUUCUCAGGAACACAAAGCCAUCAAACUUAAAGGGAUUUGAGGUGUCACAGCAAUGCUUUUAAAUUAAGCAGGGAUUUCAAUAGAAACAGGAGAUACACAGCACUUCCAGAGAUCUCUGAGGAAAGUAGUUGUGCAAAACGUGGAAAGGAGGUUGAUUGUAGAGCCAGCAUGGUGGGUUUUGCCUCAGAAUUUCUGGCUGCUUCUGGAGCACUGACAAGCCUGAAUUCAGAGCCCUUGGUCUGUUCCAAGACAAGCUUUCACUUCUGCUGGACUACCUGUCCAAUUUCCUGCCCCACAGGAGUUUUUUGCUGCCUAUCCACUUUUACUGAUCCUGCAAUGAAGCUUGGCCACCAUAAACUAGACAUUUUGCUGCUGGGCUGUAUGACAUGAUAAUCCCUGCUGCCUGCAGAUCUUUGAUUCUCAUCCAGCUUUGUGCCCUUACUGGCCAGAUCCUUCUCUUGAUGAGAUUUUGAUAUUUUUGCACAACAGUCAACUCAGAGAAGAUAAAAUGAAUUCUUGAUCUCUGAACCAUGGAGGUUCCUUGUAUGUGUGCUGGAUGAAUAGAUUAACAUACAUGCUGUGUGCACACAAGGGAUUCCGUAAGUGUUGAUCCAUGAGCCCUGCUAAAUAAAGCCUAGUGUAUAUUUUAACUUUAAGUGUAACUUACUCAAGUUACAAGGCUGUCCACUUGGCCCUUUGAAGAAAAAGCAAACAAAGCCAUUUUGUUUCCUGUAUUUAUGAUCACAGUAUGACACACCUAAAUAAUGCGGAAAUUAAAAAUAAGCAUCUACAAUGUAAUCAUAAAUAAGUGUAAGUAUUUUUUAACUCCAUGGUGAAAUUGAUGGGUGUGUAGACCUAUCAGACUUAAAAUUUAUCAAACUUAUAACUGAAUUAUGACCUAUUUAUUACUGAUCACUGAAUUGUUACAUUUUGUAUACAUGAUCAUUGUUAGGCUCCAUAUAUGCUAUUAUGGCUGCUCUGUUCGUGAACUAUGUAAUUUGCCAUCAUAUAAUGUUUCCAUCUGACAUAAUUUAGAUAAGUGGAGACAUUUUCAUUUUAUGGUAAAAUAAGAUUAUUUAACUUUUCUUAUUCUGUGCUCCCAAAUUCCCAAUGUCAUUUGUUUGCUUUAAGUGUUUAUUGCUUUCUAUCUAUGCUUUCUGUCUUCUAUACUGCAUGCAUUUAGGGAAAGGAACUGUCUUCUAUGUUAUCUGUCUGAAGCUGAGUUAGAUUGUCUCUGUGAGUGGCUGUAUCAAUCAUAAAACUAUAACAAGAGUCCUGUUUUCUAACAGCUACAUACAGCUUAGUUUUAUAUUCGGGGUAGGAUGAGUCAUGCAGUCUACAUCUGUCUAGUUUCACCUUCUAAUCUACAAGCUUUACAAGCAUUACAGAGUUUUAAGCAACUAGCUGCUUAGCUUCCUAAUUCUCCUUAUGUAGUCAGCAGAGAGACGCAGGCUCUGCCCAGAGCACAGUCCAGAGCAUCUGCAUUGGGCUGUACCUGGAACAGGCCCAAGCGCUGCUCUGGACCUUGAGCAAAGAGUGAUUACGGCAUGCAAGGGGUGAUUACAGGAACUGUGUUAAGGGCUGCUUUAUUGCUGCUGGGGAACCAGCUUACUUGAUCUCUAGCUGAUCUUACCAUAUGAAAUUUAAAGCAAUGAUUUGGAGAAAACUGCAAGCUAAUAUAUACUUAGAAUAAAACAGUGCAUGAAUGCAGGAUACAUAGUUAAUCAGCAUAGUUAUUUUAUUUGCAAUUAAAUAAAACAUUUCAAUGGCACUUAUCUCCAUUUCUCUUCCUAACACCAUCAAAAAUAAAUACAUAGUGUUUUAGUGUUCAAUGAUUUCACUUCCUCACAGAACAAAUCAGUGUAAUUAGAAUAUUAUUUGGAUGGAUAUUUUUAGUAUCUGUAUACAAAUAGAUUUUUCUUCUGCAAUACAUGGCAAUUACAUUUAGGCAAAAUCUUGCUUCUUCAUUAUGAUAUAGACUUAAUAAAAAGUACAUUGUGUUUAAUAUUGUAAUCAAUUUAAUUCCAAUAUCUAAUUAAUAUUGCAAUUCAUAGUGUAGGAGAUGAAGGAACAAUCUAAUAUCAUACACACAUUCAAUGUUCUCUAGUACCUAGGAAUACUCAGAAAACAUUUUUAAAACCACUUAGAAAAUUUCUUCUUUUAAAUUCCUGAGAUCAAUGUUAAAAUACCCCCAAAAUAUUGUUAUUAAUUUGCUUUUUAAUCUAGAAAAUAUUUGUGUCAUAUAAAAUUGUCAAUAGAUUUGGCACUCUAUUAUUUUUGAAGCAAUUUGCCACUUUAUUUCUUUUGAAGCACAAGUUCAGAAAGGAACAAUAUCACAGAAAGGAAAUUGCACUGUUUCAGUGCUCAGACACCCUCAGAAUUUGGUCCUAUAGAGCUAAAAGAUAAUAUUUACAUUACUAAAUCAUGUGUUGAAAUGAGAGUGGUGACAUGUAACAACCUCUCCCUGGAAGUGAUUUUUUUUAUUUUUAAAGAGAUAAUUAGAGGCUCAUGCUUGAUAUUUCUCCUCUAUAGGAAAUUUGGAGCAUGCGAGGUUGAUCCCCUUAGAACUGCAUAUACUCUCAAUUAAGAGUUAGAUAAUUCUUUGUAAAAAGAAAAUCUAACUUAGUUUUAUCUCAAAACCUGGUCAUCAAAAAUGUACAGUAAACUGUGGUUCUGAUGGCUUCUUAUUUCUCAUUUUCUCCUACAGUCAUUAGUUUUGGUUGUGGUUCCAAGGCAACACUUGUCACAUCCUCAAUAAUUAUGAUUACAAAUAUUUCUCUAAAAGCUUUGCUUCAGGCCAGACAAGCCUGGGUAAACCACAAUCCCAAUGUAUUAUUUCUCAGGUGUACAGGAUAGUGUUGGUUGUGAAAUAUGUUGUGAAGCCAUAUCUUUAUGAACAUUUCCUUCAAACGUGCUGCUAAUGAAGCUAUGUAAUGAUUUCAAUAAUUUAAAUAGUUUUUAUUAUCUUCAGCCUUUAAACAUUCUUAUGCUGAUCUGAUUCAUGACUUGACUUUUGUUUUCUUUGGCUAAGUAGCCCUACAGGAGGCAAGGGGGAUUCAUCUGACCAAAUAUAAUCUCCUUUACUCAAUAAAGAAAACAGGUCUUUUUAGUGCACAAUUAAUUUUAUAGUUAAGUGGCUAUUUCAAAAGUCACAAAUUAAUCUCACCCUGGAAGUGCUCAUUUUGGUGUGGAUUAUGUAGAAACCUUGGAGGACCAGAUACAGGAACCAAUAUUGCCAAUAUCUAAUGUGGGGUUUGGUUUAAGAUUCCUAAAUCUGGAUGUCUGUAGAUAUCUAACUGAAAGCUUAAUAUCUAGGUGUUGUUAUAGUCAGUGAAGUCUGGAUAAUGAUUCAGUGUGGAUGUCUAUUUUAGGGUGAAUUGGAUUAAUUCUUGAGGUUCAUUUCUCUGUACUGAUCAGCUCUCCAAGGGCUAUAAAAGGCACUCCAGGUAUAGAGUGAACAUAUAAACACCUAUACAUUAAAACUUCAUUUCAGUGCCUUAAACUACAAGCUGAGUCCAAAUACUCCUGUCUUUCUUUCACCUACACAUUUUACAAGUUUUUCUUGAAUUAUUCAAGUAAUCUUAAACACAGUUCUGUCUAGUUCAUCUUUUCUGCAACACUGAAUAUCCUUUUUGCUUUGGUUGUCUAUUAUAGUAUCCCUGUAUCUUUAGCAUCUUUGGAUUUCUUUCAUCCUCUCACAAGCCUUGUUUAUCACCAAUAUAUAGCAAUAUUCAUCAUUGCCAGAGAAUUGCUUGCAUUACUGAUAAAAUUCCCUAAAACAUCUCUCAUGUUACCAUAUUGCAUGGUGGGCAGGACCUUAUUUUCUCCUUCUCACACCUACACAAAGCUCAUUUACAGGGAAUGUUGAUACAUUUCAGAUGGCGAUAU